UCAGAACUCAUUGCAGUUAGGAUGGCUAGC
This 30-nucleotide non-coding RNA is filed under the name Rattus norvegicus (Norway rat). The record is from RNAcentral. Lineage: Eukaryota; Metazoa; Chordata; Mammalia; Rodentia; Muridae.